UGUGUAUAUGCCGAUUCGCCCCCUCCCCGUCUCUUUUAUACCGACCCCGUCACCGAGUGGGCGUGGUCAGAGCACUGCAGGUGGACGCGUGGGGCGGGGCAUGUCUCUACCAGGCACCGUGGAGAUGAGAUGCGCGACGGGCAGAGAGCGGUCAGUCGCGAUAAACAACGCGCGGACGUGACGAGAUAGUGUGGAGGACUGAAGAGACGGCGAGACGGCGAGAGUCAAGAUAGCAAUUACGUCCUCGUAAUGCCAAGAAGAGCGGUUGGGGGUUUGGAGGACGGCUCUCGUACUAGUC
This is a non-coding RNA of Caenorhabditis elegans, 298 nucleotides long. Lineage: Eukaryota; Metazoa; Nematoda; Chromadorea; Rhabditida; Rhabditidae. The record is from Ensembl.